RNAcentral lists this ribosomal RNA (1442 nucleotides) under Crystallibacter crystallopoietes. RNAcentral's name for it is "bacterial SSU rRNA". It matches the Rfam family "Bacterial small subunit ribosomal RNA". The record is from RNAcentral. Lineage: Bacteria; Bacillati; Actinomycetota; Actinomycetes; Micrococcales; Micrococcaceae.
UCAGGACGAACGCUGGCGGCGUGCUUAACACAUGCAAGUCGAACGAUGAUCCGGUGCUUGCACCGGGGAUUAGUGGCGAACGGGUGAGUAACACGUGAGUAACCUGCCCUUGACUCUGGGAUAAGCCUGGGAAACCGGGUCUAAUACCGGAUACGACCUUACACCGCAUGGUGGUUGGUGGAAAGAUUUUUUGGUUUUGGAUGGACUCGCGGCCUAUCAGCUUGUUGGUGAGGUAAUGGCUCACCAAGGCGACGACGGGUAGCCGGCCUGAGAGGGUGACCGGCCACACUGGGACUGAGACACGGCCCAGACUCCUACGGGAGGCAGCAGUGGGGAAUAUUGCACAAUGGGCGAAAGCCUGAUGCAGCGACGCCGCGUGAGGGAUGACGGCCUUCGGGUUGUAAACCUCUUUCAGCAGGGAAGAAGCGAAAGUGACGGUACCUGCAGAAGAAGCGCCGGCUAACUACGUGCCAGCAGCCGCGGUAAUACGUAGGGCGCAAGCGUUGUCCGGAAUUAUUGGGCGUAAAGAGCUCGUAGGGCGGUUUGUCGCGUCUGCUGUGAAAGCCCGGGGCUCAACCCCGGGUCUGCAGUGGGUACGGGCAGACUAGAGUGCAGUAGGGGAGACUGGAAUUCCUGGUGUAGCGGUGAAAUGCGCAGAUAUCAGGAGGAACACCGAUGGCGAAGGCAGGUCUCUGGGCUGUAACUGACGCUGAGGAGCGAAAGCAUGGGGAGCGAACAGGAUUAGAUACCCUGGUAGUCCAUGCCGUAAACGUUGGGCACUAGGUGUGGGGGACAUUCCACGUUUUCCGCGCCGUAGCUAACGCAUUAAGUGCCCCGCCUGGGGAGUACGGCCGCAAGGCUAAAACUCAAAGGAAUUGACGGGGGCCCGCACAAGCGGCGGAGCAUGCGGAUUAAUUCGAUGCAACGCGAAGAACCUUACCAAGGCUUGACAUGGACCGGACCGCCGCAGAAAUGCGGUUUCCCUUCGGGGCUGGUUUACAGGUGGUGCAUGGUAGUCGUCAGCUCGUGUCGUGAGAUGUUGGGUUAAGUCCCGCAACGAGCGCAACCCUCGUUCUAUGUUGCCAGCGCGUUAUGGCGGGGACUCAUAGGAGACUGCCGGGGUCAACUCGGAGGAAGGUGGGGACGACGUCAAAUCAUCAUGCCCCUUAUGUCUUGGGCUUCACGCAUGCUACAAUGGCCGGUACAAAGGGUUGCGAUACUGUGAGGUGGAGCUAAUCCCAAAAAGCCGGUCUCAGUUCGGAUUGAGGUCUGCAACUCGACCUCAUGAAGUCGGAGUCGCUAGUAAUCGCAGAUCAGCAACGCUGCGGUGAAUACGUUCCCGGGCCUUGUACACACCGCCCGUCAAGUCACGAAAGUUGGUAACACCCGAAGCCGGUGGCCUAACCCCUUGUGGGGAGGGAGCCGUCGAAGGUGGGACCGGC